This is a long non-coding RNA of Monodelphis domestica (gray short-tailed opossum), 621 nucleotides long. RefSeq lists it as uncharacterized. NCBI's taxonomy places the organism in Eukaryota, Metazoa, Chordata, Mammalia, Didelphimorphia, Didelphidae. The record is from RefSeq and is a predicted model, not a curated record.
GCCUGGAUUCUGACUUCCGGGGGUGGAGCCAAGAUGGAGGAGUAACUAGGGCAGCAGCUCCCUUUCACCAUGAAAAUCCUCUCCAACCAAGAGUAAAAUAUCACCACAAAACGAAUACAGGAGUGAAAGAACCAAAAGGAGGCAGAGUGAAAUAACCUUCAAAAAAAGAAAAACCCAAAAGUGUGACAAUGAGCCGGCCAGAUUGGGUGAACUACUGCAAGCCGGGAAAAUGGCAAGGAUGUGCAGAUUCUUCCCAUCUCUGACACUCUACAUUCCAGGCCCAUUCUGACCACUCCAGUCCACCCUGAGCUUGCUCUCCUUUGAGUUCCUCCAGUACAACCAAAUGAGGAAGAAAAAUGUUCUGCAGCUUCAGGUGAAAGAGACCUGAUUCUCAGAUGGGAACAUAAUGAAACCAGGCAGGAAGAGGAGGACCUUCGGUGACAAGCCUUUACCAGAGCCAUCUCAGUCACUCACAAAGAUUAUUUGGCACGCCUUUAAUAUUCCUGUCAUGUGGUUGGCAAGAGAGUGAAGUAGUUGUUUUCAGCAAAACUUCCCCAACCAAAAAAACCUCAAAACAAGAAAAAAUUUCCAACGCUAUAAAAGUUAAAGCUGUAUCAGCAA